Molecule: unclassified non-coding RNA, 286 nt
Filed under: plant metagenome
Description: partial contains small subunit ribosomal RNA, internal transcribed spacer 1, and 5.8S ribosomal RNA
Rfam family: Eukaryotic small subunit ribosomal RNA (bases 1-55)
Source: RNAcentral
GGAAGUAAAAAGUCGUAACAAGGUUUCCGUAGGUGAACCUGCGGAAGGAUCAUUAUUGUAUAACCGAGGUGCGAGGGCUGUCGCUGACCCGAAAGGUCGUGCACGCCCGAGUGCCCUCACACACAUCCAUCUCACCCCUAUGUGCACCACCGCGUGGGUCCCCCUUUGGCUUGUUCGGAGGGGGGCUUACGUUUUCACACAAACUUUGUAUGCAGUGUAGAAUGUAUUUUUUGUUUUUGCGAUCACGCAAUCAAUACAACUUUCAACAACGGAUCUCUUGGCUCUC